This is a ribosomal RNA of Erinaceus europaeus (western European hedgehog), 137 nucleotides long. NCBI's taxonomy places the organism in Eukaryota, Metazoa, Chordata, Mammalia, Eulipotyphla, Erinaceidae. The record is from Ensembl.
GUCUACGGCCAUACCACCCUGAACACGGCCAAUCUCGUCUAAUCUUGGAAGCUAAGCAGGGUCGGGCCUGGUUAGUACUUGGAUGGGAGAGCCUGUGAGGGAAAAACUUCUUGAGGAGGCCAGUUCUACCUUUGAUU